GACGAACGCUGGCGGCGUGCUUAACACAUGCAAGUCGAACGGAAAGGCCCUGCUUUUGUGGGGUGCUCGAGUGGCGAACGGGUGAGUAACACGUGAGUAACCUGCCCUUGACUUUGGGAUAACUUCAGGAAACUGGGGCUAAUACCGGAUAGGAGCUCCUGCUGCAUGGUGGGGGUUGGAAAGUUUCGGCGGUUGGGGAUGGACUCGCGGCUUAUCAGCUUGUUGGUGUGGUAGUGGCUUACCAAGGCUUUGACGGGUAGCCGGCCUGAGAGGGUGACCGGCCACAUUGGGACUGAGAUACGGCCCAGACUCCUGCGGGAGGCAGCAGUGGGGAAUAUUGCACAAUGGGCGGAAGCCUGAUGCAGCAACGCCGCGUGCGGGAUGACGGCCUUCGGGUUGUAAACCGCUUUCGCCUGUGACGAAGCGUGAGUGACGGUAAUGGGUAAAGAAGCACCGGCUAACUACGUG
Molecule: ribosomal RNA, 468 nt
Filed under: uncultured bacterium
Lineage: Bacteria
Description: partial 16S ribosomal RNA
Rfam family: Bacterial small subunit ribosomal RNA
Source: RNAcentral